CCGACGGGUCCAGCCCCGCCUAUUCCAGCCCAGCUCUCCGCGGGUUCCCCUCUUUGCCAGGCCCGCCUUCUUUGGACCCACGCCUUACCGCCUCCCGGUGCCAGGCCCCCCACCGCCCCUUCCAGCCCAGCUCCCUCCAGGCCCCGCCUCUGGCCCCCGCGCGGCGACUCGUGGGAACGCCCCCCGGGCGCAGCGGCGGAGGACGCGGUGCUCGGUCAUGGGGUUCCAGCCGAGCCCAGCGCUGCUGGCCUCCCUCGGGGCGGGGCUGCUAACGCUGCUCGGCCUGGCUCUGGGCUCCUACUUGGUGCGGAGGUCCCGCCGCCCACGGGUCACUCUCCUGGACCCCGAUGAGAAGUACCUGCUGCGGCUGCUGGAUAAGACGACUGUGAGCCACAACACCAAGAGGUUCCGAUUUGCCCUGCCCACCGCCCAGCACACUCUGGGGCUGCCUGUGGGCAAACAUGUCUACCUCUCAGCCCGAAUCGAUGGCAGCCUGGUCAUCAGGCCAUACACUCCUGUCACCAGUAACGAAGACCAAGGCUAUGUGGAUCUUGUCAUCAAGGUCUACCUGAAAGGUGUGCACCCCAAAUUUCCUGAGGGAGGGAAGAUGUCUCAGUACCUGGACAGCCUGGAGAUUGGGGAUGUGGUGGAAUUUCGAGGGCCGAGUGGGUUGCUCACUUACAUGGGGAAAGGGAAUUUUAGCAUUCAGUCCAACAAAAAGUCUCCACCAGAGCUCCGAGUGGCAAAGAGACUGGGCAUGAUCGCCGGCGGGACAGGAAUCACCCCGAUGCUUCAGCUGAUCCGGGCCAUCCUGAAAGACCCCACAGAUCCAACCCAGUGCUCUUUGCUUUUUGCCAACCAGACUGAAAAGGACAUAAUCUUACGGGAGGACUUGGAGGAACUGCAGGCCCAAUACCCCAGUCGCUUUCAACUCUGGUUCACUCUUGAUCAUCCCCCAGCAGAUUGGGCCUACAGCCAGGGCUUUGUGACUGCGGACAUGAUCCAGGAGCACCUGCCUUCCCCGGGGGACGACGUGCUGCUGCUUCUCUGUGGGCCUCCCCCUAUGGUGCAGCUGGCCUGCCACCCCAACCUGGACAAACUGGGCUAUUCUCAAAAGAUGCGCUUCACCUACUGAUCGUCCCCUGGCUUCCCUGGUCCCGUUCCCGGCAAUGUUCCUGGUCAGUGCUCGCUUGCUCAGGCAUCACAUAACAGCCAACAUGUAUGAAGCAUUGCCAUUUGCCUGGCAUCAUAGAAGAGCCUGCAUAAAUCAUCUCAAUCCUGACAAAGACCCAGUGAAGGAGCACGGUUUUCUUCCCAUUUUCCAGGGGGGCUGCACCACCUGUGGUCUCCCAGACCUGCACUCACAGGCCGGAGCGUGGGAGCACAGACUGGGCAGUGAGUUCUGGAGCAAGGCUGGAGGCAGUUCUGUUUAUGCAAGAAAUAACAGGCGCCGAACUAAAGCGCAGCCCAGCACUUCGCACGUGAUGGUUCCGGUCAAUCAAUGUGGGAGGGACCAAGAGGCUGAAGAGGGGCUCAGGAGUGUUUGGAGGAGCAAACAACUGGCACCGGCCAUGGUGAGAUCGGGGCGGGGGGGUUUGCCAGCGGAGAGGACGGGCGCAAGGGAUGAAACUGGGCGGGUGCAGCCAACUCCCCGACAUUCCUCGGCCGGGCGUUCCCGCGUGCAGCUGGGGGUGUGGUCCUCACCCAGCCAAGGAGGCGGGGCUCGGGAUUGGAGCUGCGCAGGGGCGUGGCCCAGGGGAGCGAGCCUGUGAUUGGCCUGCUGGAGGAAGACCCCCCGUGGGAGGGGCCCGGAGCUGCGGCGCAGAGGUGACGUCAGCGCUGGGCCCCCUUCCGGCGCGGGGAGCGUCCAGAUCAGGGCCGCUGGGCUCCAGGCCGCUUGCGGCGCCGCGGGAUGUAGCGCGGGCUCCGCGGCCCCACCUGAGCCUGUCGCCGGCGUUCUUCCUGCUUCCUCGGCGGUGGGAACCUGACGAGGCACUUCGGUUGACACGGAACCCGUGUGGGAGGAGCCGGAGGAGCCCAGUAGGACUUAGGAGCAACCGUAGUCUUCCCCCGCUUACUGUCUGUUUGGGAAAGGAAAAAAAAGACCUCCUGCUGGGGCUGCUUUAGCUGGAGAAGAGCUACGAAGGACAUAAGCUUGUGAUUUUCCGCUUCAGACUCUUAAGCCAGUGACUUGGCAUCAAGUAGGAAAGCCGAGGUCCUGUUACUGCAGUUGGUAAUUUUCAGCAUCGGCCUUUUCCCAGCAGAGAG
This is an RNA transcript of Myotis myotis, 2268 nucleotides long. It is a transcript of the gene named NADH-cytochrome b5 reductase 1, with no coding region annotated. The transcript has 13 exons. Lineage: Eukaryota; Metazoa; Chordata; Mammalia; Chiroptera; Vespertilionidae. The record is from RefSeq and is a predicted model, not a curated record.